This 441-nucleotide ribosomal RNA is filed under the name uncultured bacterium. Its description in RNAcentral is "bacterial SSU rRNA". It matches the Rfam family "Bacterial small subunit ribosomal RNA", at positions 56 to 501 of the family's 1533-position model. The record is from RNAcentral.
UGCAGUCGAGGGGUAUGGUAGCAAUACCAGAGACCGGCGCACGGGUGAGUAACGCGUAUGCAACCUGCCCUUUACAGGAGGAUAGCCCGUCGAAAGGCGGAUUAAUACUCCAUAAGAUGGUACUACCGCAUGGUAGAGCCAUAAAAGCUUCGGCGGUAAAGGAUGGGCAUGCGUGACAUUAGCUAGUUGGCGGGGUAACGGCCCACCAAGGCUACGAUGUCUAGGGGUUCUGAGAGGAAGGUCCCCCACACUGGUACUGAGACACGGACCAGACUCCUACGGGAGGCAGCAGUGAGGAAUAUUGGUCAAUGGGCGCGAGCCUGAACCAGCCAUCCCGCGUGCAGGAAGACGGCCCUAUGGGUUGUAAACUGCUUUUGUGCAGGAAGAACGCUCAAUACGUGUAUUGAAGUGACGGUACUGCAUGAAUAAGCACCGGCUAAC